AGAUGCUCUCUCCAUGGAGAUUGCAGUUGGAGCCCUCUAUGUUUGUUUCUUUUCCUUUUUUAAUUUAACAGUUUAUUUGAGCAAAGAACGAUUCACAACUUGAGCAGACCCCAAACCAGAAUAGGUUCAGGGAGACUCCAGCACCGCACAUGGUUGAAGAAAAUUUAUGGACAGAGAGAGGAAAGGGAUGGACAGACAAUGGAAUUGAGAGAAGAACAGAUACGCACAGAGGGAAGAUAAUGUGAAGAGACACCGAGAACAAGGUCAUGACGAGGACAGAGAUUGGAAUGAUGUGGCUACAAGCCAAGAAAUGUCAAGGAUCGCCGCAACAUCAGAGGGUCUUCUGUGGUGGGAGUAACUCUACGACUCAUCAAGGACCAAGCGAGCAAACCCAGGAGAUACAGGAUGGAUGCUGGCAAAGGGGAGACGUGAGAUGAAAGACAGAGCUUCCUGGAAGAGGAAGACAUUGGAAGUGCCUAACAUGCUUUGCUGAUCCUCACAAUGUAGCAGCUGCCUUGAAAGGGAAUCGAUCCAUGCUAGUCAUCAUUGCUCUGUGUGUGUGUACACGCACAUGUGUAUAGGGCAUGGGACAUACAGAGAUGUGUGUUCGUGUGCGUGCAUAAGUGAAUGUAUAUAUGUAUAUGUGUCUCCCUUUGUACUUAGAUAUCUAAAUGAGAUUGUAAUGGGCCCUGUGCUCUUUUCUCCCCAAUUGUAUACUUUUUUCCUCUUUUAUUAAGAUACUACAUACAUAUAAGUGAAAAAAACCAGAACUCCAGGCAUAUAGCCUAAUGAAUUUUUUACAUAUGUCUAUGCCUGGAUAAUCACAACUCAGAUCAUGAUAGAAAACUCCCAGGACCUUAGGUCUGAACCCAAGUCAGUCAUCUCAUAGCAGUUCUUUGGUCCGCAUCCCAGGGAGAGAGGUCUACUAAGGUCAGGGCCAACCAAACUCUAACCAGAGGCAGGGAUGAGGCUGGGGGUGGUGGGGUGUCCUCAACCACACACCACAAAUGCCUGGUGCAGUUAUAAAUAGCCCUGUGGAGGUGGAACCUUCCCAAGGGAGCCAAUCCUGGAGGAUGACGGCCCAACAGCCAAUCCCAGCCCUUGACAAGAGGAGGCCCCUCCCACAGCAGAGUCAAAGACACCAAUCAUGCCCUUUCCCAGCCUCCUUUGCAGCCAGUCCAUGUGACUGCUUCCCAGCCAAUAGGAACCAUUGGCCUAUCUACCAGGGCCUUCUAGGAAAGAGCUUCCCUUCAGCACAAAAAUAGAAGAGAGUAGAGUGAGAAAGUUCUAUCUCUUCUUUUGCCAGGCACAUUCAGGCAAGAGUCUUGGAGCGGGGGCAACUGUCCAUGAGGGAAGACGAUACCAAUACACCAAGGAGGCCAGUGGGUUGGAGGCUGAGCCCUUGGUGACAUGGUUGAAUCUCCAAACCGGAGGUUAGCAAGCUUGAGUUGUGAAGGGUCAGAUAGUAAAUAUUUAGGCACCCUGGGCCAUGUAUGGUCUCUAUUGAGGCUGCUGCUUGCUAUUUAGCAACCUUUCUUAAUGUUCGGGCUAUAGAAAGAACAGAGAGAGCAGAGUAUAUUUGACCCAUUGGCCAAAGUUUGCUGACCCCUUCUCUAGACCAAUGCAGCAACCACAUAUCUCCAGAGUUCUUGUUAAGUAUAAUGAUUUAAAACAAAAACAAAAACUAUUUUGUAAGCUACUCUAAGUCAGAGAGUCUGUUACUUGCAGCUAAAAGAUUCCCCAAGGAUAUUGUAGUACAUCUGCUUUCUUAGACUUAUUCCAUAUCUUAAGGAAAUAAUAUUGAAGGAAGUAUUUGAGAGGUCCAGAGGAAAUGUAGGACUUCUUUCUCAAAAUGCAGUGUCUGCUACUGCUUUGGGGGGACAGGAAUGGGUGGAGGGACAGAAGGCUGUGGAGAGUAAGGGCAGAUAGCUGGGAGUGGAGAGCUCUUUAAGAAACAAUGGUGAUAUAGCAUCUCUUGUAUUUU
Molecule: long non-coding RNA, 1984 nt
Organism: Microcebus murinus (gray mouse lemur)
Lineage: Eukaryota; Metazoa; Chordata; Mammalia; Primates; Cheirogaleidae
Source: RefSeq, a predicted model, not a curated record